GAUGAACGCUGGCGGCGUGCCUAAUACAUGCAAGUCGAGCGGACGGACGAGAAGCUUGCUUCUCUGAUGUUAGCGGCAGACGGGUGAGUAACACGUGGACAACCUACCUAUAAGACUGGGAUAACUUCGGGAAACCGUAGCUAAUACCGGAUAAUAUUUUGAACCGCAUGGUUCAAAAGUGAAAGACGGUCUUGCUGUCACUUAUAGAUGGAUCCGCGCUGCAUUAGCUAGUUGGUAAGGUAACGGCUUACCAAGGCAACGAUGCAUAGCCGACCUGAGAGGGUGAUCGGCCACACUGGAACUGAGACACGGUCCAGACUCCUACGGGAGGCAGCAGUAGGGAAUCUUCCGCAAUGGGCGAAAGCCUGACGGAGCAACGCCGCGUGAGUGAUGAAGGUCUUCGGAUCGUAAAACUCUGUUAUUAGGGAAGAACAUAUGUGUAAGUAACUGUGCACAUCUUGACGGUACCUAAUCAGAAAGCCACGGCUAACUACGUG
RNAcentral lists this ribosomal RNA (497 nucleotides) under uncultured bacterium. RNAcentral describes it as "partial 16S ribosomal RNA". It matches the Rfam family "Bacterial small subunit ribosomal RNA", at positions 28 to 507 of the family's 1533-position model. The record is from RNAcentral.